AGAGGGGGCCAGCGUUAUUCGGAAUUAUUGGGCGUAAAGAGCGUGUAGGCGGCUAGGUAGGUCCGCUGUUAAAACUCGAGGCUUAACCUCGAGAGGUCGGUGGAAACCCUCUAGCUAGAGUCCGGAAGAGGAGAGUGGAAUUCCUGGUGUAGCGGUGAAAUGCGCAGAUAUCAGGAAGAACACCCGUGGCGAAGGCGGCUCUCUGGGACGGUACUGACGCUGAGACGCGAAAGCGUGGGGAGCGAACAGGAUUAGAUACCCUGGUAGUCCACGCCGUAAACGAUGGGUGCUAGGUGUGGGCGGUGUCGACUCCGUCCGUGCCGAAGCUAACGCAUUAAGCACCCCGCCUGGGGAGUACGGCCGCAAGGCUA
RNAcentral lists this ribosomal RNA (371 nucleotides) under uncultured bacterium. RNAcentral's name for it is "bacterial SSU rRNA". It matches the Rfam family "Bacterial small subunit ribosomal RNA", at positions 527 to 896 of the family's 1533-position model. The record is from RNAcentral.